RNAcentral lists this ribosomal RNA (1089 nucleotides) under Shigella flexneri. RNAcentral's name for it is "partial 23S ribosomal RNA". It matches the Rfam family "Bacterial large subunit ribosomal RNA", at positions 34 to 1163 of the family's 2925-position model. Lineage: Bacteria; Pseudomonadati; Pseudomonadota; Gammaproteobacteria; Enterobacterales; Enterobacteriaceae. The record is from RNAcentral.
UGGCAGUCAGAGGCGAUGAAGGACGUGCUAAUCUGCGAUAAGCGUCGGUAAGGUGAUAUGAACCGUUAUAACCGGCGAUUUCCGAAUGGGGAAACCCAGUGUGAUUCGUCACACUAUCAUUAACUGAAUCCAUAGGUUAAUGAGGCGAACCGGGGGAACUGAAACAUCUAAGUACCCCGAGGAAAAGAAAUCAACCGAGAUUCCCCCAGUAGCGGCGAGCGAACGGGGAGCAGCCCAGAGCCUGAAUCAGUGUGUGUGUUAGUGGAAGCGUCUGGAAAGGCGUGCGAUACAGGGUGACAGCCCCGUACACAAAAAUGCACAUACUGUGAGCUCGAUGAGUAGGGCGGGACACGUGGUAUCCUGUCUGAAUAUGGGGGGACCAUCCUCCAAGGCUAAAUACUCCUGACUGACCGAUAGUGAACCAGUACCGUGAGGGAAAGGCGAAAAGAACCCCGGCGAGGGGAGUGAAAAAGAACCUGAAACCGUGUACGUACAAGCAGUGGGAGCACGCUUAGGCGUGUGACUGCGUACCUUUUGUAUAAUGGGUCAGCGACUUAUAUUCUGUAGCAAGGUUAACCGAAUAGGGGAGCCGAAGGGAAACCGAGUCUUAACUGGGCGUUAAGUUGCAGGGUAUAGACCCGAAACCCGGUGAUCUAGCCAUGGGCAGGUUGAAGGUUGGGUAACACUAACUGGAGGACCGAACCGACUAAUGUUGAAAAAUUAGCGGAUGACUUGUGGCUGGGGGUGAAAGGCCAAUCAAACCGGGAGAUAGCUGGUUCUCCCCGAAAGCUAUUUAGGUAGCGCCUCGUGAAUUCAUCUCCGGGGGUAGAGCACUGUUUCGGCAAGGGGGUCAUCCCGACUUACCAACCCGAUGCAAACUGCGAAUACCGGAGAAUGUUAUCACGGGAGACACACGGCGGGUGCUAACGUCCGUCGUGAAGAGGGAAACAACCCAGACCGCCAGCUAAGGUCCCAAAGUCAUGGUUAAGUGGGAAACGAUGUGGGAAGGCCCAGACAGCCAGGAUGUUGGCUUAGAAGCAGCCAUCAUUUAAAGAAAGCGUAAUAGCUCACUGGUCGAGUCGGCCUGCG